UCCGGCAUGGCUCAGUAAGUAGUAGCGCAUGACUGUUAAUCAUGAAGUCGUAGGUUCGAGGCCUACUGCCGGAG
RNAcentral lists this transfer RNA (74 nucleotides) under Enterococcus faecium. RNAcentral's name for it is "tRNA-Asn". It matches the Rfam family "tRNA". From Rfam's summary of the family: Transfer RNA (tRNA) molecules are approximately 80 nucleotides in length. Their secondary structure includes four short double-helical elements and three loops (D, anti-codon, and T loops). Further hydrogen bonds mediate the characteristic L-shaped molecular structure. tRNAs have two regions of fundamental functional importance: the anti-codon, which is responsible for specific mRNA codon recognition, and the 3' end, to which the tRNAs corresponding amino acid is attached (by aminoacyl-tRNA synthetases). tRNAs cope with the degeneracy of the genetic code in two manners: having more than one tRNA (with a specific anti-codon) for a particular amino acid; and 'wobble' base-pairing, i.e. permitting non-standard base-pairing at the 3rd anti-codon position. Lineage: Bacteria; Bacillati; Bacillota; Bacilli; Lactobacillales; Enterococcaceae. The record is from RNAcentral.